This 458-nucleotide ribosomal RNA is filed under the name uncultured bacterium. Its description in RNAcentral is "partial 16S ribosomal RNA". It matches the Rfam family "Bacterial small subunit ribosomal RNA", at positions 338 to 795 of the family's 1533-position model. The record is from RNAcentral.
CCUACGGGGGGCAGCAGUGAGGAAUAUUGGUCAAUGGGCGAGAGCCUGAACCAGCCAAGUCGCGUGAGGGAGUACUGCCCUAUGGGUUGUAAACCUCUUUUUUCGGGGAGCAAAAGCCGGACGUGUCCGGCAGUGAGAGUACCCGAAGAAAAAGCAUCGGCUAACUCCGUGCAAGCAGCCGCGGUAAUACGGAGGAUGCGAGCGUUAUCCGGAUUUAUUGGGUUUAAAUGGUGCGCAGGUGGAUUUUUAAGUCAGCGGGAAAAUCGUGGGGCUAAACCCCAUCCAGCCGUUGAAACUGGGGAUCUAGAGUGUGCGAGAGGUAGGCGGAAUGCGUGGUGUAGCGGUGAAAUGCAUAGAUAUCACGCAGAACCCCGAUUGCGAAGGCAGCAUACCGGUGCACAACUGACGCUCAGGCACGAAAGCGUGGGUAUCGAACAGGAUUAGAUACCCGUGUAGUC